AUUGAACGCUGGCGGCGUGCUUUACACAUGCAAGUCGAACGAGUGGCGAACGGGUGAGUAACCCAUCGGAACGUACCGUGUAGUGGGGGAUAACUUUCCGACAGGACAGCUAAUACCGCAUAUUCUUCGAUCUGCCGAUGUGGGAUUCGCUGGUUGGCGGGGUAAAGGCCCACCAAGGCGACGAUCAGUAGCGGGUCUGAGAGGAGGAGCCGCAACACUGGAACUGAGACACGGCCCAGACUCCGACGGGAGGCAGCAGUGGGGAAUUUUGGACAAUGGGCGCAAGCCUGAUCCAGCCAUGCCGCGUGUAUGAAGAAGGCCUUCGGGUUGUAAAGGACUUUUGGCAGGGAAGCGGUACCCGAAGAAGAAGCACCGGCUAACUACGUGCCAGCAGCCGCGGUAAUUC
This 406-nucleotide ribosomal RNA is filed under the name uncultured bacterium. RNAcentral's name for it is "partial 16S ribosomal RNA". It matches the Rfam family "Bacterial small subunit ribosomal RNA", at positions 30 to 526 of the family's 1533-position model. The record is from RNAcentral.